RNAcentral lists this unclassified non-coding RNA (569 nucleotides) under Hevea brasiliensis (rubber tree). Lineage: Eukaryota; Viridiplantae; Streptophyta; Magnoliopsida; Malpighiales; Euphorbiaceae. The record is from RNAcentral.
UGUAUUUAUUUAUUUAUUUUUUUCAUGAAAUUUUGUACUCCGUCAAUUAAUGGGAAUGAAUUAUCAUUUUUGUUUAAAAAAAAUAUAGUAUUGAGUAUUAAUCAAAUAACAUUUGAGAACAUAAACACAAUUUUAUCAACUAAAGGAGAACUCUCAAGUCAUAUAUAUAGUAAUUGCUUGCUAGAAUAGGCAAGCAUUAAGCUAUUUGUACCCAUUUGCAAGCUAGGAGGUGACGACAAUGAGGCGUCAGUCCAAUUCCAAAUGCAAUAAGCAUGCAUAAAUAUACCCUUAAAUGGUAGCCAUUUUUAAUAACCAUUUACUAUCCUAAUUUCAAGAUCAAAUUUCAACAAAAUCCUAAGGUCAAAUUUCAAGAUCAACACAGUUAUUGUUAUGUUAUCUUAAGAGGGAAUGGGAGGGUCACCCCUAUCAUGCAACCCAAUUAAACCUGGGUGCAACCCAACUCCAGUUCUAAGUGCAAAGACUCAAAAUUGAACUGAAGGGUACCUCUUAAUUGCAGGUAAUAUUUGGUAUGAUGUAAUUAAAGUUGUAAUGUAAUCAUGAUUACAUUA